This is a long non-coding RNA of Oenanthe melanoleuca, 2993 nucleotides long. RefSeq lists it as uncharacterized. Lineage: Eukaryota; Metazoa; Chordata; Aves; Passeriformes; Muscicapidae. The transcript is spliced from 5 exons. The record is from RefSeq and is a predicted model, not a curated record.
UCCCGGCCCGCUCCAUUCGGGAACGCUCGUGCUGGGGUGCGGCGGGAUCCUCGUCCGGGCGCGACCCAGGGACCGCUCCCGGUGCUGCCCGAAUCCUGAGGCGCUCAGAUCACAGGAUAUAGUGGGGUCGAGAGGAAUCCUUAAAUCUGGCUCUCAAGUACACAGUGUGUGGCAGAAUUGAGCUGACAUCCUGGGCAGUACCAGGACUCUGCUCCAACUGACUGAACCAGUCUCUGGGUCACAGGUAUGAACCUCCCAAGGAUGCGAAUCCUUGGUACCAGUAAGGGAACUGCAGCUCCUCUUCUGCUAAAGCUGCUUUACACACCAGCCCCUGCCAUGGCUGUAGGGUAGAACUGGCUGGCAGCUGACAUGACAGCACCAAACUCUUCCCAUAACCCUGAUUUUCCUGCCCUUUCCAGGAUUUACCCACCAGCUGUAGGUUUUCUCUUGCAACAUCUCUUUGCAGGGAGGAAUGAGCAGGAAGAUCCUGAGGCUUCCCUUGCUGCAUGACCAGGGCUCUUCUGGAGAGUGGCAGGGGGCAUUUCCUGCAGGCUCCUGGAGAUGCUUCAGCCUGGACACAGCCACUGACAGCCCAAAGGCAGCCCAAGGAGCAGCUGGCACUGCCUGGGGAUGGCAGCACGGGCUGAGUGCAGAGGGGCUCAGACAGCAAUUGCUGGUUCCAGCCUCCCAGAGCUCCCAGGCAGCUGCCAGGUGUGUCCUGUCCACCCCAAUUCCCUUCCCUUCCAGCCUGAGGCCAUCACCCAGCAGCAGCACUAAAGCCAAGGCAGUCUUACCUCACAGAUACUAAAUCCAACUAACAGCCUGCAGAGAUGCCUUAAAAUCAGAGGUUUGGCUGGGAUGAAGUCUUGUUUGGAUGAAGGUGGGAGUUUCCAGGGAGCCAGCUGGAAGUGCAGAAGGGAUGGAAAGCUUUCCCAGCUUGUAAAACUUAUCCUGGAAUUCAGAGGUCAAGCAGGGUUGGCUUUGGAUUGACCUUCACCUCUGGUCCCACUUUGUGCAAACACAACUUGUGCCAGGUGCUGGACUUGCCUCUGUGGAUGUGUGCUGAGCUCUCACUGCAGGGGACUGUCAGGCCUGAAUGGCUGUGAGUUUGUGUUCUUCUCACUGGGAAAACAGAAAUUAUUGUUAAUUAGACCACAGAAAUGUUUUCUGAAACCUUUCCCCAUUGCUGGUACAUCUUCUUUUUCUGCCUUUAACUUUACAGCUCUUCCCUAAUGUCAUUUCCCCUGCCUCACUUCAGUGCAGCUCCUAGCUGGGAAAAACUGGGAUAACUUAGAGGAGACAGAGGUGAGACUUUUAGCUGGAUUUUUCUAAAAUUUUCUAAUGAUACUGAAAUUAUUUCCAAUUGCCCCAGUGAGAAGAACACCAACUCACAGCCAUCAAAAGCUCCAAACUCAGUUAAUUGAAGCAGGUCCAAGGAAAAAUCCAGCCAUGCCAGGCUGAGGCUGGAGCUUGCUCAUAAUUCAUUGUUGGUGUCUGCUGCAGUCUAGGAAUAGCUCUCUCAUUCUUCACUUGCUUGAUCUGCUUUUGCAUCCCUGAUUCAAAUGGAGUUAUGCAGACUUCAUGUUUGCUAUCAGGCUAUGAAGAAGCCUAUUGUAACCAGCACAAGCUUUUCUUAGAUGGAAAUGUGCAUGCAAAGUAGAAAGAGCUUUGAUACUGAGGUUUUUUUUCCCCUGAGAUUCAAGUAUUUUAUCAUUUUAAUACCAUUCCAUUUUCCUGUUGCACUCAUUUUUAGAGUGCAUCUUUUGUAUUAACCCUGAGUAUUAUAAUUCCUUCAGAAUUCCUGUGGAGGGCACUAUUACCAUUACUAUACAAUUAGCUACAGCUGGAUGUAAUAGAGAUGAACACUAAAUAGCUUUGCUGGAGGAGGCUCAGUGUCUUUUAACCCAGACACCUUCUUUACUGCUGCCUGGUUUGUUACUCUGCUUUAGGGAGUAUGGGAAACCUUAGAAAGAAGAGAAUUUACAAGUUAUAAUUGUACAAGUUGUCAUGCAAAAAGGUGCUGUGGAUUUGUUCUUUUUUCCCCCUAUCAUUAUCUUUGCUAGGAGGUACUAGAAUUUGGCAUAACCACUCAAAGGCUUUGUACAAGUGAUAUUUCCCAAGAGCCAGGAUGAUUUGUGAUAUUUGGGGAGGGAUGGAGGAGCUGAUUACCUUGUGGACCCUUCUGCUCUUGCUCCUGUGAGACCUGUGCUCCAUUCCCUGUUCCACAGGGCAGAGCCAAGGCAUCUAUUCCCCCAGGAUUUAGAAAAGCCAGCACACCAUAAAGUGAGGCAGGGAUAACAAUUUGGAGCCAGCAAACAGAUUAGGACUCACCAGGGUUUCUGAGAAAAGCUGCAUGGUUUUUUCAGAGCUGAGAAGGAAAUCAGAAAUGAGCCUUGCAGUUCAUAGGAAGACUUUUUGAAGCAAGAAUCAAAUCCUGGAAGUUUGGCAAAGUCAAGCUGGAAGUGCAGGAUCUGUCAGACCUGGCUGCCCUCCUGCUACCACAGAGCAGAUUGCAAGAUCAUUUCAUCUCAGUGCCAGAGAUUCCUGGAGCUGAAAGCAGGGAUGAGCUGCACUCCUCCAAGAGGCUUUGACUUCUUUCAGGGGGAGUGGGUUGUGUGGGAUUAUUCCCUCCUGCCUUUUCUGGGAAGCAUCACAGUUAUGUAAAGAAAAAAAAAAUCUUACCUUUGAUUUUACUACUUGAUCUUAUUCCUUUUUCUUUUAUGACUUGCACAGAUAGUUCAUCUGUUUUCCAAUUAGAAUAGAAAUGAUUUGUGAGAGUUAUAAGGGUUGUGGGAUGUUAUAUAAUAUAGAAAAAAAUAUACUUACACUAUGAUUUUAAUUAGGCUGUCAAACAAGGAAAAGAAGGAAGGGUGUAUUUCAGUUAUGGCAGGAAUUAUGUACAACAAUCUACUAUUACUGAGAAAGCAGUGGCAGAAGAAAAACAGCCAGAAUAAAAACUAUUAGAAUGAAAAUAAACAGAGGUUUUGAAUUAA